GUGCUCACUUCUGUAGCACAUAUACUAAAAUUGGAACCAUACAGAGAAGAUUAGCUACAGCCCCAGAACAAGGAUGACAUGCAAAUUUGUGAAGUGGUCCAUAUGAAG
Molecule: small nuclear RNA, 108 nt
Organism: Nomascus leucogenys (northern white-cheeked gibbon)
Lineage: Eukaryota; Metazoa; Chordata; Mammalia; Primates; Hylobatidae
Source: Ensembl